This 497-nucleotide ribosomal RNA is filed under the name uncultured bacterium. RNAcentral's name for it is "partial 16S ribosomal RNA". It matches the Rfam family "Bacterial small subunit ribosomal RNA", at positions 28 to 507 of the family's 1533-position model. The record is from RNAcentral.
GAUGAACGCUGGCGGCGUGCCUAAUACAUGCAAGUCGAGCGAACGGACGAGAAGCUUGCUUUUCUGAUGUUAGCGGCGGACGGGUGAGUAACACGUGGAUAACCUACCUAUAAGACUGGGAUAACUUCGGGAAACCGGAGCUAAUACCGGAUAAUAUUUUGAACCGCAUGGUUCAAAAGUGAAAGACGGUCUUGCUGUCACUUAUAGAUGGAUCCGCGCUGCAUUAGCUAGUUGGUAAGGUAACGGCUUACCAAGGCAACGAUGCAUAGCCGACCUGAGAGGGUGAUCGGCCACACUGGAACUGAGCCACGGUCCAGACUCCUACGGGAGGCAGCAGUAGGGAAUCUUCCGCAAUGGGCGAAAGCCUGACGGCGCAACGCCGCGUGAGUGAUGAAGGUCUUCAGAUCGUAAAACUCUGUUAUUAGGGAAGAACAUAUGUGUAAGUAACUGUGCACAUCUUGACGGUACCUAAUCAGAAAGCCACGGCUAACUACGUG